Molecule: ribosomal RNA, 445 nt
Filed under: uncultured bacterium
Lineage: Bacteria
Description: bacterial SSU rRNA
Rfam family: Bacterial small subunit ribosomal RNA
Source: RNAcentral
GUAAGGAAUAUUGGUCAAUGGACGAAAGUCUGAACCAGCCAUGCCGCGUGAAGGAUGAAGGCCCUCUGGGUUGUAAACUUCUUUUAUCUGGGACGAAAAAAGGGUAUUCUUACUCACUUGACGGUACCAGAGGAAUAAGCACCGGCUAACUCCGUGCCAGCAGCCGCGGUAAUACGGAGGGUGCAAGCGUUAUCCGGAUUCACUGGGUUUAAAGGGUGCGUAGGUGGGUAUUUAAGUCAGUGGUGAAAUCUCCGAGCUUAACUCGGAAACUGCCAUUGAUACUAUUUACCUUGAAUGCCCUGGAGGUAAGCGGAAUAUGUCAUGUAGCGGUGAAAUGCUUAGAUAUGACAUAGAACACCAAUUGCGAAGGCAGCUUACUACGGGGUGAUUGACACUGAGGCACGAAAGCGUGGGGAGCAAACAGGAUUAGAUACCCGAGUAGUCC